Molecule: long non-coding RNA, 1256 nt
Filed under: Olea europaea (common olive)
Lineage: Eukaryota; Viridiplantae; Streptophyta; Magnoliopsida; Lamiales; Oleaceae
Description: long non-coding RNA (OEUR_LNC013300)
Source: RNAcentral
AAUAUCUAACACUUAAUUCAGGCCUGUCAAUCAAUCAUUACAUAUGCAACUACUAUUACUAUAGGCGGUAGAUGCUAAAAUAGGUUUCCCGUUUCCUUAACAAUUAAGUGACUUUUCAUUUGAUCAAUUCAAGCAGUCAUUUUUGAGAAUUCAUUUAAGGAUGUUCACAAUAUAAUUUUAGAUUCUAUUUUUCAAUGAAUAAUGUUAUUUACAGUCGUCCACUAUUACAGUAGUCCUAUGUGACAUACAGGUGGUGGUAUCAAAUCACUAAUCCCUACAUGUACACUACGUAGGACGACUACGACAGUGAACGAUUGCAAAUAACAUUGCUCUUUUUCCAAUGAUUGUACGAUAUAGCAUGGAAAUUUAUUAUGCAAUUGAUUGUUUGAAAAUAUGCAUCCUAACUUUUUAAAGUUCCAAGAAAUUUGCUUUCUUGGCUUCGAUAAUACAACCAGAAUUGAUUCAAGGGUGUAUGCAAUGUAGUUUUUGGUUCUAUUUUUAAAAAUGAUGGUACGAUCAAGCAUGGCUUUCACUGUGCAAUUGAUUGCUUGAAAAUAUGAGUUCCAAGAAAUUUCCAUUCUUAGCUUGUUGGAGCACAAUUCACUAUGCACUCAACUUGAAAGGCAAAAAGUAGAUGAAACAAGAUUCAAAAAAGGGGAAACGAGUUCAUGAUUCCAUGAAUUUAAUGCUGCACGUAAUUUAAAGAGUGUGAUUGUGUCAAGUUGCAAGAAAUUUGCUCUCUUGGCUUCAGAAUUAAUUCAAGUGUUCGCAAAAUAAUGGUACGAUCAAGCAUGGGCAAAUACUGUGCAAUUGAUUGCUUGAAGAGUUCCAAGAAAUUUUCUUUCUUAGCUUGUUGGAGCACAAUUCACUAUGCACUCAACUUGAAAGGCAAAAAGUAAUAAGAUUAAAAAUAAUAAUAAUAAAAAAUAAAAAUUCAUGAUUGCAUGAAUUUAAUGCUGCACAUAAUUUAAGAGAGUGUGAUUGUGUCAAGUUGCAAAAAUCUUUCGUAUCGUUGCCUCAGAAUAUGUGAUUUUCUUCUUCUCUCAUUUUAGUAAAUUGUAUUUUUUUUUUCUUUUUUGUGUCUAAUAAUUAAGAAAACAUAUUUAUUGAUUGUUUUUAUUCAUUUGGCGUAAGAUUAUUUUUGUUUGUGACAGUUGAAAACAAUUGCGGAAUUGAUUGUUGAGUUGGACCAAUGUCUGAAAAUGUAAAACUUGAGUUUUACCAACUUAAGCUAAUUGAUUAUGUAAGUUGUAUAA